UCAAGUGAAGAAGCGCAUACGGUGGAUGCCUUGGCAGUCAGAGGCGAUGAAAGACGUGGUAGCCUGCGAAAAGCUUCGGGGAGUCGGCAAACAGACUUUGAUCCGGAGAUCUCUGAAUGGGGGAACCCACCUAGGAUAACCUAGGUAUCUUGUACUGAAUCCAUAGGUGCAAGAGGCGAACCAGGGGAACUGAAACAUCUAAGUACCCUGAGGAAAAGAAAUCAACCGAGAUUCCCUUAGUAGUGGCGAGCGAACGGGGAUUAGCCCUUAAGCUUCAUUGAUUUUAGCGGAACGCUCUGGAAAGUGCGGCCAUAGUGGGUGAUAGCCCCGUACGCGAAAGGAUCUUUGAAGUGAAAUCGAGUAGGACGGAGCACGAGAAACUUUGUCUGAACAUGGGGGGACCAUCCUCCAAGGCUAAAUACUACUGACUGACCGAUAGUGAACCAGUACCGUGAGGGAAAGGCGAAAAGAACCCCGGAGAGGGGAGUGAAAUAGAACCUGAAACCGUAUGCGUACAAGCAGUGGGAGCCUACUUGUUAGGUGACUGCGUACCUUUUGUAUAAUGGGUCAGCGACUUAUAUUCAGUGGCAAGCUUAACCGUAUAGGGUAGGCGUAGCGAAAGCGAGUCUUAAUAGGGCGUUUAGUCGCUGGGUAUAGACCCGAAACCGGGCGAUCUAUCCAUGAGCAGGUUGAAGGUUAGGUAACACUGACUGGAGGACCGAACCCACUCCCGUUGAAAAGGUAGGGGAUGACUUGUGGAUCGGAGUGAAAGGCUAAUCAAGCUCGGAGAUAGCUGGUUCUCCUCGAAAGCUAUUUAGGUAGCGCCUCAUGUAUCACUCUGGGGGGUAGAGCACUGUUUCGGCUAGGGGGUCAUCCCGACUUACCAAACCGAUGCAAACUCCGAAUACCCAGAAGUGCCGAGCAUGGGAGACACACGGCGGGUGCUAACGUCCGUCGUGAAAAGGGAAACAACCCAGACCGCCAGCUAAGGUCCCAAAGUUGUGGUUAAGUGGUAAACGAUGUGGGAAGGCUUAGACAGCUAGGAGGUUGGCUUAGAAGCAGCCAUCCUUUAAAGAAAGCGUAAUAGCUCACUAGUCGAGUCGGCCUGCGCGGAAGAUGUAACGGGGCUCAAACCACACACCGAAGCUGCGGGUGUCACGUAAGUGACGCGGUAGAGGAGCGUUCUGUAAGCCUGUGAAGGUGAGUUGAGAAGCUUGCUGGAGGUAUCAGAAGUGCGAAUGCUGACAUGAGUAACGACAAUGGGUGUGAAAAACACCCACGCCGAAAGACCAAGGGUUCCUGCGCAACGUUAAUCGACGCAGGGUUAGUCGGUUCCUAAGGCGAGGCUGAAAAGCGUAGUCGAUGGGAAACAGGUUAAUAUUCCUGUACUUCUGGUUACUGCGAUGGAGGGACGGAGAAGGCUAGGCCAGCUUGGCGUUGGUUGUCCAAGUUUAAGGUGGUAGGCUGAAAUCUUAGGUAAAUCCGGGGUUUCAAGGCCGAGAGCUGAUGACGAGUCGUCUUUUAGAUGACGAAGUGGUUGAUGCCAUGCUUCCAAGAAAAGCUUCUAAGCUUCAGGUAACCAGGAACCGUACCCCAAACCGACACAGGUGGUCGGGUAGAGAAUACCAAGGCGCUUGAGAGAACUCGGGUGAAGGAACUAGGCAAAAUGGCACCGUAACUUCGGGAGAAGGUGCGCCGGCUAGGGUGAAGGAUUUACUCCGUAAGCUCUGGCUGGUCGAAGAUACCAGGCCGCUGCGACUGUUUAUUAAAAACACAGCACUCUGCAAACACGAAAGUGGACGUAUAGGGUGUGACGCCUGCCCGGUGCCGGAAGGUUAAUUGAUGGGGUUAGCGCAAGCGAAGCUCUUGAUCGAAGCCCCGGUAAACGGCGGCCGUAACUAUAACGGUCCUAAGGUAGCGAAAUUCCUUGUCGGGUAAGUUCCGACCUGCACGAAUGGCGUAACGAUGGCGGCGCUGUCUCCACCCGAGACUCAGUGAAAUUGAAAUCGCUGUGAAGAUGCAGUGUAUCCGCGGCUAGACGGAUAGACCCCGUGAACCUUUACUGUAGCUUUGCACUGGACUUUGAGCCUGCUUGUGUAGGAUAGGUGGGAGGCUUUGAAGCGUGGACGCCAGUUCGCGUGGAGCCAUCCUUGAAAUACC
Molecule: ribosomal RNA, 2160 nt
Filed under: Pseudomonas aeruginosa
Lineage: Bacteria; Pseudomonadati; Pseudomonadota; Gammaproteobacteria; Pseudomonadales; Pseudomonadaceae
Description: bacterial LSU rRNA
Rfam family: Bacterial large subunit ribosomal RNA
Source: RNAcentral